GGUUGUAGCUCAGUGGCAGAGCACUUGCCUAGCAUGUGUGAGGCACUGGGUUCAAUUCUCAGCACCA
This 67-nucleotide transfer RNA is filed under the name Ictidomys tridecemlineatus (thirteen-lined ground squirrel). RNAcentral's name for it is "Spermophilus tridecemlineatus (thirteen-lined ground squirrel) tRNA". It matches the Rfam family "tRNA". Rfam says of the family: Transfer RNA (tRNA) molecules are approximately 80 nucleotides in length. Their secondary structure includes four short double-helical elements and three loops (D, anti-codon, and T loops). Lineage: Eukaryota; Metazoa; Chordata; Mammalia; Rodentia; Sciuridae. The record is from Rfam by way of RNAcentral.